Molecule: non-coding RNA, 438 nt
Organism: Scomber scombrus (Atlantic mackerel)
Lineage: Eukaryota; Metazoa; Chordata; Actinopteri; Scombriformes; Scombridae
Source: the annotation of a RefSeq genome assembly
AUGGUGUCAAUGCAAUUAAGUCUGUUUUCAACUGUGUUUCUGAUCACACUAACAGAGUGUAAAGGACAAGACAAAGUGAUCCAGCCACCAGGAGAUGUCAUUGCUACUGAAGGACAGACAGUUACACUUAAUUGUACAUUUAAGACAACUGACUCAAGUCCAUAUUUGUUCUGGUACAAACAAGAAGUAAAUGGUUUCCCAAAGUAUGUUUUGCGACGUGAUACUAUUGGGGAAGGAGAUAAUGCUGCAGAGUUCCCCAAAGACAGAUUUGAUGCUACACUCAACAAACCAUCAGUUCCUCUGAAGAUCCAGAAGCUGCAGCUGUCUGACUCUGCUGUGUACUACUGUGCUCUGCAGUCCACAAAUAGUGCAGCCAGACAGGUUUGGUUUAGUGUAUCUGGUUUUAGCAUCAGUCAGUUAUUGGGGAUCUGGUUGUAA